AAAUAAAAGUGAAAUUCUUAUGGCACUUUUAAAACAAUCCAUAUCCACCUUGUGUGCAAUGUUUUUUGAGAAAAAGGCAUAGUCUUUUUUCUCUUUUAACUAUUAUAAACUCAUUUUUAUAAGAAAUCUUGUCUGAUAAUAAUAUUAUUGAAUAACUUAAUUCAUAAAUA
RNAcentral lists this unclassified non-coding RNA (170 nucleotides) under uncultured Mortierellomycotina. Its description in RNAcentral is "sequence contains ITS1". The record is from RNAcentral. Lineage: Eukaryota; Fungi; Mortierellomycota.